GCUGCCCACAAAGAGAACAAGGAGAUAGCAAAGGCUGCAACAUCUGAAAGCAAAUGUGCAGCAUCGGUCAAUAUUGCAAGACUGUUAGCUUUGAUGCCACCAGCUACUUCAGCACUCAUGAAGACUACACAAAGUGCCACUGCCAUCAAGAGCUUGCGCAUGGAAGCUGAUCGUUCUUUGGCAUCUUUGGAGUUAGCUCCAGCAUCUG
RNAcentral lists this unclassified non-coding RNA (208 nucleotides) under Hevea brasiliensis (rubber tree). Lineage: Eukaryota; Viridiplantae; Streptophyta; Magnoliopsida; Malpighiales; Euphorbiaceae. The record is from RNAcentral.